UAAUACGGGGGGUGCGAGCGUUGUCCGGAAUCACUGGGCGUAAAGGGCGCGUAGGUGGUUUGAUAAGGGUGUGGUGAAAGUCCGGGGCUCAACCCCGGAUCUGCCGUGCCGACUGUCAAACUCGAGGACUGUAGAGGCAGACGGAAUUCCGGGUGUAGCGGUGGAAUGCGUAGAGAUCCGGAGGAAGACCGGUGGCGAAGGCGGUCUGCUGGGCAGUUUCUGACACUGAGGCGCGACAGCGUGGGGAGCAAACAGGAUUAGAUACCCUGGUAGUCCACGCCAUAAACGAUGAGGACUAGACGUUGGAGGGGUAAGCCUUUCAGUGUCGUAGCUAACGCGCUAAGUCCUCCGCCUGGGGAGUACGGCCGCAAGGUUG
RNAcentral lists this ribosomal RNA (376 nucleotides) under uncultured bacterium. RNAcentral's name for it is "bacterial SSU rRNA". It matches the Rfam family "Bacterial small subunit ribosomal RNA", at positions 521 to 896 of the family's 1533-position model. The record is from RNAcentral.